AUUGAACGCUAGCGGGAUGCCUUACACAUGCAAGUCGAACGGCAGCACGGACUUCGGUCUGGUGGCGAGUGGCGAACGGGUGAGUAAUGUAUCGGAACGUGCCCAGUAGCGGGGGAUAACUACUCGAAAGAGUAGCUAAUACCGCAUACGCCCUACGGGGGAAAGGGGGGGAUCGCAAGACCUCUCACUAUUGGAGCGGCCGAUAUCGGAUUAGCUAGUUGGUGGGGUAAAGGCCCACCAAGGCGACGAUCCGUAGCUGGUUUGAGAGGACGACCAGCCACACUGGGACUGGGACACGGCCCAGACUCCUACGGGAGGCAGCAGUGGGGAAUUUUGGACAAUGGGGGCAACCCUGAUCCAGCCAUCCCGCGUGUGCGAUGAAGGCCUUCGGGUUGUAAAGCACUUUUGGCAGGAAAGAAAUCGCAUGGGUUAAUACCCUGUGUGGAUGACGGUACCUGCAGAAUAAGCACCGGCUAACUACGUGCCAGCCGCCGCGGUAA
This 500-nucleotide ribosomal RNA is filed under the name uncultured bacterium. RNAcentral describes it as "partial 16S ribosomal RNA". It matches the Rfam family "Bacterial small subunit ribosomal RNA", at positions 30 to 523 of the family's 1533-position model. The record is from RNAcentral.